AGAGUUUGAUCCUGGCUCAGAAUGAACGCUGGCGGCGUGCUUAACACAUGCAAGUUGCACGAGAACGCCUCAGCUUGCUGAGGCAAGUAAAGUGGCGCACGGGUGAGUAACGCGUGGGUAAUCUACCUCCGAAUUGGGGAUAACAUUGCGAAAGCGGUGCUAAUACCGAAUAAUAUCCCUGGGACCCCGGUCUUGGUGAUCAAAGGUGGCCUCUACAUGUAAGCUACCGUUUGGAGAUGAGCCCGCGUACCAUUAGCUAGUUGGUAGGGUAACGGCCUACCAAGGCUGCGAUGGUUAGCUGGUCUGAGAGGAUGAUCAGCCACACUGGAACUGACACACGGUCCAGACUCCUACGGGAGGCAGCAGUGAGGAAUUUUGCGCAAUGGGGGAAACCCUGACGCAGCAACGCCGCGUGAGUGAUGAAGGCCUUCGGGUCGUAAAGCUCUGUCAAGUGGGAAGGACCUGCUCUGUGAUAACACCACGGGGCGCCGACGGUACCACUGAAGGAAGCACCGGCUAACUCCGUGCCAGCAGCCGCGGUAGUACGGGGGGUGCUAGCGUUAUUCGGAAUCAUUGGGCGUAAAGGGCGCGUAGGCGGUCUUUUAAGUCAGAUGUGAAAGCCCUCGGCUUAACCGAGGAAGAGCAUUUGAUACUAAGAGACUUGAGUAUGGGAGAGGGAAGCGGAAUUCCUGGUGUAGCGGCGAAAUGCGUAGAUAUCAGGAGGAACACCGGUGGCGAAGGCGGCUUCCUGGACCAAUACUGACGCUGAGGCGCGAAGGCGUGGGGAGCAAACAGGAUUAGAUACCCUGGUAGUCCACGCAGUAAACGGUGAACACUAGGUGUGGCGGGUAUUGACCCCUGCUGUGCCGAAGCUAACGCAUUAAGUGUUCCGCCUGGGAAGUACGGCCGCAAGGUUAAAACUCAAAGGAAUUGACGG
Molecule: ribosomal RNA, 937 nt
Filed under: uncultured delta proteobacterium
Lineage: Bacteria; Deltaproteobacteria
Description: bacterial SSU rRNA
Rfam family: Bacterial small subunit ribosomal RNA
Source: RNAcentral